AUUCCAGAAUUGACUAUUCCUGAAUUGUGCCGUUUCAUUCCAUUUUCAGUGAUCUGUCAAUGUCUAUAAAAGCGAUGGAACCCAAAAAGAGGGAUCUUUGACUGAGAGGAAGGUCUUGGAUUCAAUUGAUUAGGGUUAAUCUGAAAGCACAGGAAAGAGCUCUUGUUGUUCAAGAGAUAGCAAUCACCGAUGGUCAUGACAUAGCAACAUCACUAUCCCAGACUUUUGGCAUAUGCUGUGUCUUAAGAGUGCCAACAGAUUUCAGCUCCUACUCUCCUCAGGAACACAAACACAGACAUAUUGUUUUAACUGUUACAGAGCAACCUGCUAGUAGCUGCUGGGAUUCUAAUUCUGACCAGGAGAACAGAUCCCUUUAUGUGAG
This 382-nucleotide long non-coding RNA is filed under the name Sarcophilus harrisii (Tasmanian devil). Its description in RNAcentral is "lncRNA (ENSSHAG00000027050.1)". The record is from RNAcentral. Lineage: Eukaryota; Metazoa; Chordata; Mammalia; Dasyuromorphia; Dasyuridae.